UGUACAAAAUUCUGCACGGGCAUGCAUUUUUGUGGGGGAACGGCGUGAAAUUCGUCGGCAGUCCCGCUACGGUAAGCCUCAAAAGAGGACAAGUCCGAAUGCCCGACCGUAUGUAAUCAGAGCG
Molecule: non-coding RNA, 124 nt
Filed under: Corallococcus sp.
Lineage: Bacteria; Pseudomonadati; Myxococcota; Myxococcia; Myxococcales; Myxococcaceae
Source: RNAcentral